GCUGGUUAUGGUAGCACAUGCCUCUAGUCCCAGCUACUCGGAAGGCUGAGGCAGGAGGACUGCUUGAGCCCAGGAGUUUGAGGCCAGCCUGGAUAACACAGUAAGAACCUGUCUUUU
This 117-nucleotide small RNA is filed under the name Marmota monax (woodchuck). Lineage: Eukaryota; Metazoa; Chordata; Mammalia; Rodentia; Sciuridae. The record is from RNAcentral.